Long non-coding RNA from Homo sapiens (human), 430 nucleotides. Lineage: Eukaryota; Metazoa; Chordata; Mammalia; Primates; Hominidae. The record is from Ensembl.
AGGCGAACGCCUCCAGGAAGCCAGCCAGGGGCAACCAGAAAGUCCUUUUGGUGAAGUCUGACAUCCCGCGUUGGUUUCUCUGGACCUGGUUUCUGGCACUGGAGGUGGAAGUCCAGACUGCACAUGCCUGGCAUAGCAUGCAGAGCCUGCCUAGGCUGCGGGUGGGUGAGCACGUGUGGGAGGACCCUCGGCUCUGGCCACCGAAUGCCCUAUGCUGGCUUGUCAGCCGGGACCCCGCCCCUCCCGCUCCCACGUUAGGAGAACAGCAGUUCACAGAUCCUGCGCGUGUCCUCAGGCGCUGUCACGGAGUAGCCCAUGGUUCUGGGGUCUGUGAAGAUCUCAUGGUCAUUGCCACCCUGGAAAGACACGAAGUACAGAUGAAGGCUCCCCCUCGUCUGUCCCGGGCCAUUGCUGAUGUGACCCUGGAGUC